Molecule: ribosomal RNA, 460 nt
Filed under: uncultured bacterium
Lineage: Bacteria
Description: partial 16S ribosomal RNA
Rfam family: Bacterial small subunit ribosomal RNA
Source: RNAcentral
CCUACGGGAGGCAGCAGUGAGGAAUAUUGGUCAAUGGGCGCAAGCCUGAACCAGCCAAGUCGCGUGAGGGAAGACUGCCCUAUGGGUUGUAAACCUCUUUUGUCAGGGAGCAACGCCGGCUACGUGUAGCCGGACUGAGAGUACCUGAAGAAAAAGCAUCGGCUAACUACGUGCCAGCAGCCGCGGUAAUACGGAGGAUGCGAGCGUUAUCCGGAUUUAUUGGGUUUAAAGGGUGCGUAGGCGGAAUGCCAAGUCAGCGGUAAAAGCGCGGGGCUCAACCUCGCUCCGCCGUUGAAACUGGCGUUCUUGAGUGGGCGAGAGGUAUGCGGAAUGCGUGGUGUAGCGGUGAAAUGCAUAGAUAUCACGCAGAACUCCGAUUGCGAAGGCAGCAUACCGGCGCCCAACUGACGCUGAAGCACGAAAGCGUGGGUAUCGAACAGGAUUAGAUACCCGAGUAGUC